Molecule: transfer RNA, 540 nt
Filed under: uncultured cyanobacterium
Lineage: Bacteria; Bacillati; Cyanobacteriota
Description: partial 16S-23S ribosomal RNA intergenic spacer
Rfam family: tRNA (bases 212-284)
Source: RNAcentral
CAGGGAGACAACAAAAUGUUUAAUAUUAUUAUUUUGUCACCUUAGGUCGAUCGGUAUCUCACGUUUUUAAUUUAUUAAGAAUUUCAUUUCCUAAGUUUUUCUAGGUCACACCCAUUAUUUUUCCUGGGCCAUUAGCUCAGGUGGUUAGAGCGCACCCCUGAUAAGGGUGAGGUCCCUGGUUCAAGUCCAGGAUGGCCCAUAUCUCUAUGUUGGGGGUAUAGCUCAGUUGGUAGAGCGCCUGCUUUGCAAGCAGGAUGUCAGCGGUUCGAGUCCGCUUACCUCCACUGAUUACCACCUCUUCCAUAAUCUGUAGAAGGGAAAUGUUUUGAGUUGUGAUCAAAUUCUGAAAGAAUCUAGCUUCCUAAUGAAAUCAUUAAGAUGCUGGACUCAUUGAAUUAAUUUCAUUGUUUUCAGAGAACCUUGACAACUGCAUAGAUUAUUUUUAAAGACAAUAAGCAUCUUUAAUGAUGCAGAUUUAUUAUUUGUGCGAAUGCAUUAAUAACAAUUCUAUUAAGCUGAUGCUUCAAUUUUGAAGUUAUU